This 106-nucleotide microRNA precursor is filed under the name Prunus dulcis (almond). RNAcentral's name for it is "sRNA ncRNA". Lineage: Eukaryota; Viridiplantae; Streptophyta; Magnoliopsida; Rosales; Rosaceae. The record is from RNAcentral.
UAUGAGAAGGGAGGAUGGGAGAAAUGAGUAACAAAAGUGAAAACAAAAAUUUAUUUAAAAUUGUUUUCACUUUUGUUACUCAUCCCUCCAUCCUCCCCUCCUCUCU